GUUGGUUUCUUGGGGAACUAGAAACGAGGCUCUCCCAGUGUGUGCCAACAUGCUUGGCACUUUCGGGAUGCUAUGGGUCAGGCACCAGAUAAACACACCCAGGGACAGAGGAUAGCUGCUCAGGAAUUUCUGGUGGCAGCUCUUUGUGGACUCGCGAAAAAUUGGCUGAAAAGGAAGGACUGUGACCCAAAGAUGCCCAGCUCCCUGGAAUAGGGCACGUUACAGUGGGCUGAGGAGCUACAGUGAGCUGUGCUAAGAGUGUGCCUGGGAAGAGAAACCAAGGACGUGAGAUUCAAAAACAGGCUUUGCCUAAGACUGCAUAAAGCUGCAAGCUCUCCAGCCCUUCCCUGGCCAGUUCCCUGUGACCUCCUAGGCUGGAGAAACCAAGACCAAUGGCAGCUUCCAACCAGCUUGGCAUAAGUGGUUGGCAAGGCAGAGCACCCCCAUCUGUGCCCAGCUGCAGGUCUUGAAGUCUCUCAGUCAUCAGCUCACCCAGGACAUCCAGUUCAUCAGCCAGUCUUGUGGGUUAACUCGUAUUCUGAUUCUCUUUACUGUUCCCUCUGGUUUUAAAAAAA
Molecule: long non-coding RNA, 575 nt
Organism: Homo sapiens (human)
Lineage: Eukaryota; Metazoa; Chordata; Mammalia; Primates; Hominidae
Source: Ensembl